This 440-nucleotide ribosomal RNA is filed under the name uncultured bacterium. RNAcentral describes it as "partial 16S ribosomal RNA". It matches the Rfam family "Bacterial small subunit ribosomal RNA", at positions 339 to 795 of the family's 1533-position model. The record is from RNAcentral.
CUACGGGUUGCAGCAGUGGGGAAUCUUAGACAAUGGGGGAAACCCUGAUCUAGCCAUGCCGCGUGAGCGAUGAAGGCCUUAGGGUUGUAAAGCUCUUUCAGCUGGGAAGAUAAUGACGGUACCAGCAGAAGAAGCCCCGGCUAACUCCGUGCCAGCAGGCCGCGGUAAUACGGAGGGGGCUAGCGUUGUUCGGAAUUACUGGGCGUAAAGCGCGCGUAGGCGGAUUGUUAAGUCGGGGGUGAAAUCCCGGGGCUCAACCCCGGAACUGCCUUCGAUACUGGCAAUCUUGAGGUCGAGAGAGGUGAGUGGAAUGCCGAGUGUAGAGGUGAAAUUCGUAGAUAUUCGGAGGAACACCAGUGGCGAAGGCGGCUCACUGGCUCGAUACUGACGCUGAGGUGCGAAAGCGUGGGGAGCAAACAGGAUUAGAUACCCCGGUAGUC